GACGAACGCUGGCGGCGUGCUUAACACAUGCAAGUCGAACGGUAAGGCCCUUCGGGGUACACGAGUGGCGAACGGGUGAGUAACACGUGGGUGAUCUGCCCUGCACUUCGGGAUAAGCCUGGGAAACUGGGUCUAAUACCGGAUAGGACCCUGGGAUGCAUGUCCUGGGGUGGAAAGCUUUUGCGGUGUGGGAUGGGCCCGCGGCCUAUCAGCUUGUUGGUGGGGUGAUGGCCUACCAAGGCGACGACGGGUAGCCGGCCUGAGAGGGUGACCGGCCACACUGGGACUGAGGUACGGCCCAGACGCCUACGGGAGGCAGCAGUGGGGAAUAUUGCACAAUGGGCGCAAGCCUGAGGCAGCGACGCCGCGUGAGGGAUGACGGCCUUCGGGUUGUAAACCUCUUUCGGUAGGGACGAAGCGCAAGUGACGGUACCUACAGAAGAAGGACCGGCCAACUACGUGCCAGCCGCCGCCGUAA
RNAcentral lists this ribosomal RNA (478 nucleotides) under uncultured bacterium. Its description in RNAcentral is "partial 16S ribosomal RNA". It matches the Rfam family "Bacterial small subunit ribosomal RNA", at positions 28 to 523 of the family's 1533-position model. The record is from RNAcentral.